Molecule: long non-coding RNA, 801 nt
Filed under: Fragaria vesca (wild strawberry)
Lineage: Eukaryota; Viridiplantae; Streptophyta; Magnoliopsida; Rosales; Rosaceae
Description: long non-coding RNA (FVES_LNC005649)
Source: RNAcentral
AAUGGAAAAACAAGAGUAGGAGAGAAAUACUGCAGUAGGAUUAAAAUAGGAACGAUCUUUUUGAGUUCUAGGGUUGAAUAUACCCAAAGAAACUAUAUGUUCUUUUCAAAAUACAAAAGCUGACUUACAGGACUCCAAAAACCUAGAUAGGUAAUAACAAACCCUAAUAAAAAGAAACCAUUGAAAUCAAAAGGAACAAACAGUAAAAUAGUAACAAAUGCAGUAUUUCUUAAUGCAGACUCUCAACUUCAGAAAUUCAUAACUUAAUGUACAAAAAUCAUUUUCAAGAGAUUUCAAUUCUGAAAUGAUCGUGCAGAUGUCUACUAAAACUUUUGUGACAACACUAACUGCAAAUACCGAUCAAAAAUUUACGGGUUUUAAUAGAAAGGUUACUUGGUCCAAAACUUGGAAAACUGAUUUGCAGAAAUUUUCCUGAUGCAGAACUUCAACUUUGAAAAUUCUUAACUUAAUCUACAAAAAUCCUUUUCAAGAGAUUUCAACUCAGAAAUGAUAUUUAAGAUGUACUCUAACUUUUAUGAAGACACCAACUUCAAAUACUCAACUGAAAUGCACUGAUUUCAGUAAAAAGGCAGUUGGGUCGAAAACUCAGAAAUACUGAUCUGCAGAAUUUCCUACUGCAGACCCUCAACUUUGAAAAAUCAUAUUUUAAUCUACAAAAAUCAUUUUCAAGUGAUUCAAAAUCUGGAAUAAUAUCUAGGAUGUCUGCUACAAGUUUUACGAAGAAACCAACUUCAAAUAACCAACCUAAAUGUACAGCUUUUAGUAAAAAGUUGACUGGCU